RNAcentral lists this ribosomal RNA (598 nucleotides) under Salmonella enterica subsp. enterica serovar Infantis. RNAcentral describes it as "bacterial SSU rRNA". It matches the Rfam family "Bacterial small subunit ribosomal RNA", at positions 1 to 588 of the family's 1533-position model. Lineage: Bacteria; Pseudomonadati; Pseudomonadota; Gammaproteobacteria; Enterobacterales; Enterobacteriaceae. RNAcentral also lists the same sequence under 1 other name. The record is from RNAcentral.
AAAUUGAAGAGUUUGAUCAUGGCUCAGAUUGAACGCUGGCGGCAGGCCUAACACAUGCAAGUCGAACGGUAACAGGAAGCAGCUUGCUGCUUCGCUGACGAGUGGCGGACGGGUGAGUAAUGUCUGGGAAACUGCCUGAUGGAGGGGGAUAACUACUGGAAACGGUGGCUAAUACCGCAUAACGUCGCAAGACCAAAGAGGGGGACCUUCGGGCCUCUUGCCAUCAGAUGUGCCCAGAUGGGAUUAGCUUGUUGGUGAGGUAACGGCUCACCAAGGCGACGAUCCCUAGCUGGUCUGAGAGGAUGACCAGCCACACUGGAACUGAGACACGGUCCAGACUCCUACGGGAGGCAGCAGUGGGGAAUAUUGCACAAUGGGCGCAAGCCUGAUGCAGCCAUGCCGCGUGUAUGAAGAAGGCCUUCGGGUUGUAAAGUACUUUCAGCGGGGAGGAAGGUGUUGCGGUUAAUAACCGCAGCAAUUGACGUUACCCGCAGAAGAAGCACCGGCUAACUCCGUGCCAGCAGCCGCGGUAAUACGGAGGGUGCAAGCGUUAAUCGGAAUUACUGGGCGUAAAGCGCACGCAGGCGGUCUGUCAAGU